Molecule: long non-coding RNA, 576 nt
Filed under: Penaeus monodon (black tiger shrimp)
Lineage: Eukaryota; Metazoa; Arthropoda; Malacostraca; Decapoda; Penaeidae
Description: uncharacterized LOC119596126, transcript variant X1
Source: RNAcentral
AAUCCCUCCGCUGACUGACAGAGGCCUUAGUGUGUCUUCAUGGUUUAUUAGAGUCAUCUGUUAAAAGAGGACUCUAUGGGUUGGAAGGCUCAGAAGACGCUCGUGGCUGUUUGAUAAUUAUUGGAGAAAUUUAUUGUGAGAGUCAACGACACGAAGACUUCUGUAAGGAGAACAAUGAAACGCGGAAACACUGAUAUAUAUUUUUUGGGUUUCUCUUGAGAACAUGUCACUUCAGAUAAUAUUGCAAUAGAUAAUACUAACAAAAUAUAAUACACCAAAUAAGUGAAGCAGUUAUUAGUUCGGAAAAAAACGAAUCAAGUGAAAGGAAUCAGAAUGAAGCAAAUACAGACGACCACACCAGCGAGGGCGUUCCUUGGGCUCCUCCUCGUCCUUCUGUGGGCGCGCCUCGGCCUUGCUAUCUACCACCCCGACGCGACGAAACCCCCGAAGGUGAAGGAGCGCGUGGACUUCAAGCUCCUCCCAGGCACUGCAGAAGACGCCGACACUCGUCCUCCUGUCAGGGUGUUCAGCGGCCGCCGUCGAGGACCUUCCGUGCAUCGCCCUGGUACGUCUGGG